UCCAGACUCCUACGGGAGGCAGCAGUAGGGAAUAUUGCACAAUGGGGGGAACCCUGAUGCAGCGACGCCGCGUGGGUGAAGGAGCGUUUCGGCGCGUAAAGCCCUAUCGGCAGGGAAGAAGGAGGACGGUACCUGACUAAGAAGCCCCGGCUAACUACGUGCCAGCAGCCGCGGUAAUACGUAGGGGGCAAGCGUUAUCCGGAUUUACUGGGUGUAAAGGGGGCGCAGACGGCAGCGCAAGCCAGGAGUGAAAGCCCGGGGCCCAACCCCGGGACUGCUCUUGGAACUGCGCGGCUGGAGUGCAGGAGGGGCAGGCGGAAUUCCUGGUGUAGCGGUGAAAUGCGUAGAUAUCAGGAGGAACACCGGUGGCGAAGGCGGCCUGCUGGACUGCGACUGACGUUGAGGCCCGAAAGCGUGGGGAGCAAACAGGAUUAGAUACCCGAGUA
This 446-nucleotide ribosomal RNA is filed under the name uncultured bacterium. Its description in RNAcentral is "partial 16S ribosomal RNA". It matches the Rfam family "Bacterial small subunit ribosomal RNA", at positions 330 to 792 of the family's 1533-position model. The record is from RNAcentral.